AAGCCAGCUUGACUGCGAGCGUGACGGCGCGAGCAGGUGCGAAAGCAGGUCAUAGUGAUCCGGUGGUUCUGAAUGGAAGGGCCAUCGCUCAACGGAUAAAAGGUACUCCGGGGAUAACAGGCUGAUACCGCCCAAGAGUUCAUAUCGACGGCGGUGUUUGGCACCUCGAUGUCGGCUCAUCACAUCCUGGGGCUGAAGUAGGUCCCAAGGGUAUGGCUGUUCGCCAUUUAAAGUGGUACGCGAGCUGGGUUUAGAACGUCGUGAGACAGUUCGGUCCCUAUCUGCCGUGGGCGCUGGAGAACUGAGGGGGGCUGCUCCUAGUACGAGAGGACCGGAGUGGACGCAUCACUGGUGUUCGGGUUGUCAUGCCAAUGGCACUGCCCGGUAGCUAAAUGCGGAAGAGAUAAGUGCUGAAAGCAUCUAAGCACGAAACUUGCCCCGAGAUGAGUUCUCCCUGACCCUUUAAGGGUCCUAAGGAACGUUGAAGACGACGACGUUGAUAGGCCGGGUGUGUAAGCGCAGCGAUGCGUUGAGCUAACCGGUACUAAUGAACCGUGAGGCUUAACCUU
Molecule: ribosomal RNA, 569 nt
Filed under: Shigella flexneri
Lineage: Bacteria; Pseudomonadati; Pseudomonadota; Gammaproteobacteria; Enterobacterales; Enterobacteriaceae
Description: partial 23S ribosomal RNA
Rfam family: Bacterial large subunit ribosomal RNA
Source: RNAcentral